This 66-nucleotide transfer RNA is filed under the name Pseudomonadota bacterium. RNAcentral describes it as "Proteobacteria bacterium (freshwater metagenome) tRNA-Lys". It matches the Rfam family "tRNA". From Rfam's summary of the family: Transfer RNA (tRNA) molecules are approximately 80 nucleotides in length. Their secondary structure includes four short double-helical elements and three loops (D, anti-codon, and T loops). The record is from RNAcentral. Lineage: Bacteria; Pseudomonadati; Pseudomonadota.
CCGCUAGCUCAGUUGGUAGAGCACAUCCCUUUUAAGGAUGGGGUCGAUGGUUCGAAUCCAUCGCGG